This 238-nucleotide long non-coding RNA is filed under the name Lathyrus oleraceus (garden pea). Its description in RNAcentral is "Pisum sativum (pea) long non-coding RNA (PSAT_LNC040376)". The record is from RNAcentral. Lineage: Eukaryota; Viridiplantae; Streptophyta; Magnoliopsida; Fabales; Fabaceae.
AUAGUUGUUGACGGGAAUAGUAGCAACAACGGCAUUGUCGUUAACAGGGAUCCCUUCUGGUGACGCACGGUAGACGGGUGGAAUCACAACUUCCUGUCUCUGGGCUAAGGCACGCAACUCCUCUUGCCCUUGCACAACACCCUGCAUCAUGCUCAUGAAUUGGGCCAUGUUAGCCCUCAUCUCUGCCAACUCAGCUUGAACUUGGUCCAUGUUUCUCUGUUGAUUCAGUCUGGUAGCG